ACCGAUAGUGAACCAGUACCGUGAGGGAAAGGCGAAAAGAACCCCGGCGAGGGGAGUGAAAAAGAACCUGAAACCGUGUACGUACAAGCAGUGGGAGCACGCUUAGGCGUGUGACUGCGUACCUUUUGUAUAAUGGGUCAGCGACUUAUAUUCUGUAGCAAGGUUAACCGAAUAGGGGAGCCGAAGGGAAACCGAGUCUUAACUGGGCGUUAAGUUGCAGGGUAUAGACCCGAAACCCGGUGAUCUAGCCAUGGGCAGGUUGAAGGUUGGGUAACACUAACUGGAGGACCGAACCGACUAAUGUUGAAAAAUUAGCGGAUGACUUGUGGCUGGGGGUGAAAGGCCAAUCAAACCGGGAGAUAGCUGGUUCUCCCCGAAAGCUAUUUAGGUAGCGCCUCGUGAAUUCAUCUCCGGGGGUAGAGCACUGUUUCGGCAAGGGGGUCAUCCCGACUUACCAACCCGAUGCAAACUGCGAAUACCGGAGAAUGUUAUCACGGGAGACACACGGCGGGUGCUAACGUCCGUCGUGAAGAGGGAAACAACCCAGACCGCCAGCUAAGGUCCCAAAGUCAUGGUUAAGUGGGAAACGAUGUGGGAAGGCCCAGACAGCCAGGAUGUUGGCUUAGAAGCAGCCAUCAUUUAAAGAAAGCGUAAUAGCUCACUGGUCGAGUCGGCCUGCGCGGAAGAUGUAACGGGGCUAAACCAUGCACCGAAGCUGCGGCAGCGACGCUGAUGCGUUGUUGGGUAGGGGAGCGUUCUGUAAGCCUGCGAAGGUGUGCUGUGAGGCAUGCUGGAGGUAUCAGAAGUGCGAAUGCUGACAUAAGUAACGAUAAAGCGGGUGAAAAGCCCGCUCGCCGGAAGACCAAGGGUUCCUGUCCAACGUUAAUCGGGGCAGGGUGAGUCGACCCCUAAGGCGAGGCCGAAAGGCGUAGUCGAUGGGAAACAGGUUAAUAUUCCUGUACUUGGUGUUACUGCGAAGGGGGGACGGAGAAGGCUAUGUUGGCCGGGCGACGGUUGUCCCGGUUUAAGCGUGUAGGCUGGUUUUCCAGGCAAAUCCGGAAAAUCAAGGCUGAGGCGUGAUGACGAGGCACUACGGUGCUGAAGCAACAAAUGCCCUGCUUCCAGGAAAAGCCUCUAAGCAUCAGGUAACAUCAAAUCGUACCCCAAACCGACA
RNAcentral lists this ribosomal RNA (1174 nucleotides) under Escherichia coli. Its description in RNAcentral is "partial 23S ribosomal RNA". It matches the Rfam family "Bacterial large subunit ribosomal RNA", at positions 483 to 1659 of the family's 2925-position model. Lineage: Bacteria; Pseudomonadati; Pseudomonadota; Gammaproteobacteria; Enterobacterales; Enterobacteriaceae. The record is from RNAcentral.